CAGAGUCCUCCGGGGUCACAGCCCUCGCCACACGCACAGCCUCCACCUCACAAUGCUAGCAGCAUGAUGGGACCCCACAGUCAGCCUUUUAUGUCACCGCGAUACGCAGGCAGCCCCGGGCCCCUGAUCAGAGUGGGAAUCCAGCCUCCAGGAGGAGUUCCUGGGACACAGCCAUUGCUGCCCAAUUCUAUGGAUUCC
Molecule: long non-coding RNA, 198 nt
Organism: Symphalangus syndactylus (siamang)
Lineage: Eukaryota; Metazoa; Chordata; Mammalia; Primates; Hylobatidae
Source: RefSeq, a predicted model, not a curated record